Long non-coding RNA from Oreochromis niloticus (Nile tilapia), 3515 nucleotides. The record is from Ensembl. Lineage: Eukaryota; Metazoa; Chordata; Actinopteri; Cichliformes; Cichlidae.
AUGUGUCAUUCUCCUGCCAGCAGUGGAGGAGACUUUUCUGCUGAGGAAGAGGCCGUGCUGUCCUGCCGUCCUACUGGCUGUAUGGAGACCUUUUGGUUAUUGCCACAGACGCUUUCUCUUACUAUGGAUGGAGGAUGUUGCGGUUUUACAACCCAUGGACUGAGAAAGGACUCAAUAAGUAACCUGUUCACAUAUUCCAGGGUUAAACACAAAACAGGAGGCGAGAGCAGAGAACAAGAGUGCAGCAGUUUGGUGAAAGGUGAAGAAGAGGUGAGCAUCCAAAAGACGAGCAAGAGGACAGUUUCAAAGGAGACAUCACGGCACAAUAAAAGCUGCCUCCUCCUGUUUCACUGGCAUAUAUCCAUCACCAGAGGGCUCCACUGACCUGCCUGCUGACAUCAGAGCACACCCCUGUGUCAUGUGACCUGUCCCAGGCAAGUUCAAAGGCAGCUGUGGUAGAGAGAGCAGGGAGUUUAGUAGAGCACCGGAAGGAUGAGGUGGAAACAGGAAGUGUGUAGAUUCAGUGGACGUGGCAUCCUCCGUCUGCCUCCAUGCUCUCUUUACUGGCCUCUAAAAUCACUUCUAAAAACAUCUGCUGUAGCUGCUUUUGUUUAAAUGUUUAGGAUUUAGAAUUCAACUUUACUGUCAUACAUGUCUAAAUACAGGGUUACAAAAUACAGUUUGCAUCUAAUCAGUAAGUGCAAUAAGAGCAGAUUAUAUACAGUAAGUUCAGUAGAGAGCAAACAUACAGAUGUACUGGUCCAUACAGAUAAGGGUAGUAUAAGUGGGGAAAUAGUCAUGAACAGAGAGACCAAACAUACAGCUGAACUACAGACAAAUGUAUAGCAUACAGAUGUUUUAUAUUGCUGUACAGACAGGCAGAUUUACAGGUGUACUAUGGACAAAUAUACAGAUGUGCUACAUAUAUACAGAUGUAUCGGUGUGAGGUAAACAGAUCUACAGUGCUAUGAAUAUAUCUACAGCAGUGGAAGUGUAGCUCUCUGAACAGACUGUAAUAGUGAACAGUGUAGGCACUAUAACAGAGACUCUGUCAGUGUCCUAAACUAUAGCAGUAACCAAUGUGAGCAUGUGGUGAAUGUUGAGAAUGAUCAUGGUCACUGGGAGGAGGAGUGUAGAAGGGUUCAGUGAGUGUGGAUGGAAAGGUUCAGCAGGGGGCUGAGUUCAGUAGGGUGACAGCUGUGAGGAAGAAGCUGCUCCUAAACCUGCUGGUUUUAGUCUGAAGGCUCCUGUAGCGCCUCCUGGAGGGGAGGAGGAGCUGGAGGAGUUUCUUGGCAGGAUGAGAGGAGUCCCUGAGAAUGAUGCGUGCUUGGCAUAGACGUCUCUUCUUGUGGACAUCCUCAAUGGCAGGAAGUGGAGUCCCUGUGAUGCGUUGGCCUUGCGGUCAGCAACAGAGCAGUUCCCACACCAGACUGUGACACAGUUGUUCAGGAUGCUCUCUAUCGUACAGCGGUGGAAGUUACCCAGUAUGUCAGCAGACAGGUGGUUCUUCUUCAGUGUCCUCAAGAAAGAGAGGCACUGAUGGGCCUUCUUGACCAGGCUGGAGGUGUUAGUUGACCAGGACAUAUUCUCAGAGAUGUGGGUCCCCAAGAACUUGAAGCUGGAGACCCGUUCAACAGCUGUGCCAUUUAUGCAGAUGGGGACAUGGGUGUCUGUCUCCUCUCUCCUGAAGUCCACAGUGAGCUCUUUGGUUUUGCUGGUAUUCAGGGGCAGGUUAUUGUCAGCACCACACAGCUAGGUGCUUUACCUCUUCCCUGUAGCAGACUCAUCAUUGUCACUGAUGAGACAGUCACCGUGGUGUCAUCUGCAGACUGGGUGAUGGAGUUGGAUGCAUACCCAGGUCUGCAGUCAUAGAGGAACGGGCUCAGCACACAGCUCUGUGGAGUGCCAGUGUGAGUGUGAUGGUGGUAGAGCAGUUAUGGCCUGGCCUAACAUGCUGGGGUCUGUUGGUGAGAAAGUCCAUGAUCCAGGUACAGAUGGAGUUGUUGAGUCUAAGAUCCACACGUUUGGUGACCAGCUUGGAGGGAAUAACUUUACCUGUGGUGAGCUGAAGUCAACAAACAGCAUUCUUACAUAAGUAUUGCAUAAAUAUCUGAGUACACGUUGCAAGAAACUGCAUUCCCAGAUCACAUCCAGUGUGUGCUGGAAAAUUUGCAGCGAUUCUACAAAAAUGUUCCACAUGGUUGUUUUUGUUCUUCCUACUGGUGAUGAUCCAGUGGGGCUCCAGUCACUCCAGGCUGGUGGUGCCACAAAACAGACUGCAAAAACACCUGUGCGUCCAUGACUGAUCCUGCUGCUUCACUUCUGUAUGAAUUGAUCUUUUCAUGACUGUUCACUUUGGACAAGCAGGAAACAGCUGACUUGUGGCUUUGCAGGAGGAUUCCCUUUAACAACAAGAGCAUGCACACAGUUUGUUUAGGCCACCAUGAAGAGCUCACAUUGUAAAUCACAAAGAGCCAGUAUAUGAUACUGCAGCUUCCACUCACUGAGACAGGAUGGCUCGUAGGAGGUGAUUACACUCUGCUUCAUUUGGUUCCAGUUCAGGUUAAGGGACAGAAACUGGAAACAAAUGUUAGAAAAAUAUUUACUGUUAGAAAACAUUCAGUGAAAACAAUAUCGAUUUUUGUGUUUGGCUUCAAAUCGGAGUCUCCAAAAGCCAGUCAGACAGUAGAGCUGGUAUAAACAGAGAGGAGAUGAAGCUUCUUUUAGACAGAGGAAGGAAAAUAUUUAGAUUCACUUAAAAGGAUAAUUCUCUAUUUUUAGCACUUUCCACUUUCAUGCCAUUAAGCUCUAAUUAGCUUCAAUUUCACUUAAGAUACAUGAACACAGAAAAGUAAGAGUGUGAUUCUGGCAAAAGAUAAAAUUUCUCAUUGUUAAAGGUCCCUGCUCACUGACCCCUCUGUCUCUUAACUGCUGUAUAUGUGCUGGAUUAUUUGGACUACAUUGCAUUGUACAGUUAGACUGUGAUUGUAUCUGUGGGGCUUAGAGACAAUGACAUUUGUUCACACAGUGGAUUCAUUUUCAAAGAUCAGGGAGCUUUAGGGCUGGUCUGGAGACAUUAACUGGCUCUAGGUGACAGAAAGUGCUGCAAGGACUGAGAAAAAACAGUAUUAAUUUGGUGCACAUUAUGACAGCUGGGAUUUAUGUGUGUGUAUAUUAUGUGUUGAGGUUUUCUCUUUGUGACUGAGGUCCUUACUGGCGGUGAGAUUUGUGUUGAGCGUGCAGUGCAGAGUGAUCAGAUGUGCUGUUCCACAAACAGGAUGUUUUUAUUGUAGUCACUGUAGCAAGUGAGAUCUGUGAGAAAUAAACCAGGAGAGGUGGAAGGACAAGAUCAAACAACAGAUCCUUAAGUCCAUGAUACAAUCAAAAUGAAGAGAAAAGGCUAACUGUGUGGAAGGCUGAGAUACUCGUCACUCUGCAGACGAGCAGCAGAGACAGUUCAACAGGCCACAGAGUAUUUUCCCAGAAGUCUCGGGGAUCAUCGAGAUGUUUUCUGG